CAGUAGCCGCGGGAAUACGUAGGUGGCAAGCGUUGUCCGGAAUUAUUGGGCGUAAAGCGCGCGCAGGCGGAUAGGUCAGUCUGUCUUAAAAGUUCGGGGCUUAACCCCGUGAUGGGAUGGAAACUGCCAAUCUAGAGUAUCGGAGAGGAAAGUGGAAUUCCUAGUGUAGCGGUGAAAUGCGUAGAUAUUAGGAAGAACACCAGUGGCGAAGGCGACUUUCUGGACGAAAACUGACGCUGAGGCGCGAAAGCCAGGGGAGCGAACGGGAUUAGAUACCCCCGUAGUCCCUGUCUCUUAUACA
This 301-nucleotide ribosomal RNA is filed under the name uncultured bacterium. RNAcentral describes it as "partial 16S ribosomal RNA". It matches the Rfam family "Bacterial small subunit ribosomal RNA", at positions 509 to 809 of the family's 1533-position model. The record is from RNAcentral.